Molecule: signal recognition particle RNA, 308 nt
Filed under: Candidatus Methanomethylophilaceae archaeon
Lineage: Archaea; Methanobacteriati; Thermoplasmatota; Thermoplasmata; Methanomassiliicoccales; Methanomethylophilaceae
Description: signal recognition particle sRNA
Rfam family: Archaeal signal recognition particle RNA
Source: RNAcentral
UGUCUGGCUUGACCGGGGUGCUUGGCGUGCCCUAUACCCGAAAUCGUCAAUACGCGGGGGUGACAGCAGGGGACGGCUCCUCUGAACAUUCAAGCCCAUCUAGCAACUAUGAAACCUUGUCCUAUAGAGUUGGUGUUUGUGACGAAGACGGCCGGAGGGUCGUUGUUCACACAUUAAUCGGGGGAACCGGGUCAGGUCCUGACGGGAGCAGCCUUACUUCGAACUACUGACGUUUACGGGGUAGCAGGGUUGAGACGCGAAAUGGUAAACUUGAAUCGGGAGGGGGUGUCAACCCCUGUGGCCAGGCG